UACGUAGGUGGCAAGCGUUAUCCGGAAUUAUUGGGCGUAAAGAGCGCGCAGGUGGUUAAUUAAGUCUGAUGUGAAAGCCCACGGCUUAACCGUGGAGGGUCAUUGGAAACUGGUUGACUUGAGUGCAGAAGAGGGAAGUGGAAUUCCAUGUGUAGCGGUGAAAUGCGUAGAGAUAUGGAGGAACACCAGUGGCGAAGGCGGCUUCCUGGUCUGCAACUGACGCUGAGGUUCGAAAGCGUGGGUAGCAAACAGG
Molecule: ribosomal RNA, 253 nt
Filed under: uncultured bacterium
Lineage: Bacteria
Description: partial 16S ribosomal RNA
Rfam family: Bacterial small subunit ribosomal RNA
Source: RNAcentral